UUCGUAGGCGGUGCGGUAAGUCGGAAGUGAAAUCUCUGGGCUUAACUCAGAGGCUGCUUUCGAAACUGCCGUGCUAGAGUGCGGGAGAGGCGAGUGGAAUUACAGGUGUAGCGGUGAAAUGCGUAGAUAUCUGUAGGAACACCCGUGGCGAAGGCGGCUCGCUGGACCGCAACUGACGCUGAGGAACGAAAGCUAGGGGAGCAAACA
RNAcentral lists this ribosomal RNA (207 nucleotides) under uncultured bacterium. RNAcentral describes it as "partial 16S ribosomal RNA". It matches the Rfam family "Bacterial small subunit ribosomal RNA", at positions 568 to 774 of the family's 1533-position model. The record is from RNAcentral.